GCUUAAUGAAGAUUUUCUGUGGAGGAGGAGGUGCCACCAUAGUAGGAAUUCUGGUCAGCAGUGAGAGGUAGAAAGUAUUCUGCUAUCAAUGAAAUCAACAAAAUACAAGGAACUCAGGGCUGUGUCUUUGUCUAUUUCAUCAUAAAACUGUCCCGGAUGGGGAGCGGAGCAUCCUAUGUGGGAUUCCAUGGAGGGCUGUGGAAGUCUGUGCACAUUGAUGAACUCCGGAGGUCCACAGUCAUGGCCUCUGAUGUGACUAAGCUGCAGAGCGUCACCAUCAGCCAGCUGUUCAUGCCAGGAGGCAGCCUAAAGCGUGAGUUGCAAUGUGGCUGUCUGCGGAGGUAGAGGCACAGAAGUAGGUGGAAGGUGCCAAGUUAGGCAGCCUCCUGUGAAGCUGGAGUCAGGGCUGCCACAUUUGAGUCACCUUUGAGUCGUGGUACCUGCCCUCAGCAGGAACUCAGGAUGUGGCACUGAACUGCCUGGCUCAUGGUCAACAUAACCAGAGCCUUGGGAAGGCCAACAGCAGUACCCAGUGUAUCAGUUGGUGUGCUGUGGAUCAUGUGCCAGCCCUCAUCCCAGGAUCUGGGGCACCUGAAGAGUGGGUUUUAUGCUGAUCUAUAUGACAGUCCUCCUUUUGACUGGGACUGCCACUGAAGCUUGGGACAGGAAACCCUGGAGAGGCCCAUCCUAGGCACUUGGUACCACCCACCCACUUCCUUAUCCAAGUGGUGACUUGAUUGUAUUCCCUUCAUUUGCAGCGAAAGGAAACCAGGACAAGGUGAUGGAGGCAGAGAUCAGCAAGUCAGGGGAGGUGGCAGAAAUGGAAAUGGAAGAGGCACAGGUCCUGGACACCACCAGACUGCUGAGGAGCUGUGUGCAAAGUGCCGUGGGGAUGCUCAGGGACCAGGAGAGCUGCCCGCGCAACAUGAGGAGAGUCACCAUCCUCCUCAGCCUCUUGAAUGGGGACAGUGUGUGCAGUGCCUCGUUCUUGCGGGUAUCUAAGAUGCGCCUCUCCUUCCUUCUAAAGAAGCAAGAAGAGAACCAGCUCUGCAGUCUGAAGGAGUGGGUGGGGCGAGAGGCUGCGAACCAGGAUGCACUCCAGGAGUCCGGCACCUUCAGGUACUGCAAGCAGUGGGCAGUGCAGGGACCUAGUAUACCAUCCCAGGGGAAGGAGCACACCAGGUGUUUCUUUCUCCACCUCUGAGGAGGGCAGAGCUAUGUUUUUGCUCCAAGAUCCCCAAACAGACCUGGAUGGU
This 1256-nucleotide long non-coding RNA is filed under the name Ictidomys tridecemlineatus (thirteen-lined ground squirrel). RNAcentral describes it as "lncRNA (ENSSTOG00000032788.1)". Lineage: Eukaryota; Metazoa; Chordata; Mammalia; Rodentia; Sciuridae. The record is from RNAcentral.